UGGGGAAUUUUGGACAAUGGGGGCAACCCUGAUCCAGCAAUGCCGCGUGAGUGAAGAAGGCCUUCGGGUUGUAAAGCUCUUCUGCCAGGGAAGAAACGGCUGUGGCUAAUAUCCAUGGCUAAUGACGGUACCUGAAGAAUAAGCACCGGCUAACUACGUGC
RNAcentral lists this ribosomal RNA (161 nucleotides) under uncultured bacterium. Its description in RNAcentral is "partial 16S ribosomal RNA". It matches the Rfam family "Bacterial small subunit ribosomal RNA", at positions 355 to 508 of the family's 1533-position model. The record is from RNAcentral.